Molecule: ribosomal RNA, 277 nt
Filed under: Priestia megaterium
Lineage: Bacteria; Bacillati; Bacillota; Bacilli; Caryophanales; Bacillaceae
Description: Bacillus megaterium partial 16S ribosomal RNA
Rfam family: Bacterial small subunit ribosomal RNA
Source: RNAcentral
AGCCACGGCUAACUACGUGCCAGCAGCCGCGGUAAUACGUAGGUGGCAAGCGUUAUCCGGAAUUAUUGGGCGUAAAGCGCGCGCAGGCGGUUUCUUAAGUCUGAUGUGAAAGCCCACGGCUCAACCGUGGAGGGUCAUUGGAAACUGGGGAACUUGAGUGCAGAAGAGAAAAGCGGAAUUCCACGUGUAGCGGUGAAAUGCGUAGAGAUGUGGAGGAACACCAGUGGCGAAGGCGGCUUUUUGGUCUGUAACUGACGCUGAGGCGCGAAAGCGUGGG